AAUAUCUCUCUAGCCUUCUCCAUCCUUGUAAAAAUCCCCUUUAUAAUUUUGUAGUAUUUUGAAUUCAGGAAUAAAAAUCAAAAAAGUCACUUGGCCACAAACAGCCGGUCUCUGGUACUGUUCUACUCUCUCCCUUUACUUACAAUAUUUGAAUUACUGUUAGCCUAAAUGAUAUGCUAAAAAGGUAAGUGUUAAGCUUAUUAUUCAAAGGUUAUUUACAAAGCAUGCUUUGUUGCCCAAAAUGAACUGUAUCCCCCCGAAAGUGUUUGGUUAAGAACUAUAUAGACUAGGCACUUAAAAACUUGAUAGUAAAUCUUGGUUAGGAUAUCCUAAUCGGUGGUGCUCUUAAACUCGCUUAGGCAGGUGGCCGUGUUGAAGUGUUGUGAGGAACAUCGUGGUUUAAGAUUUACUUAAAGGAUGGUAAUCUGUCUCGAA
RNAcentral lists this long non-coding RNA (435 nucleotides) under Nicotiana benthamiana. RNAcentral's name for it is "long non-coding RNA (NBEN_LNC033785)". The record is from RNAcentral. Lineage: Eukaryota; Viridiplantae; Streptophyta; Magnoliopsida; Solanales; Solanaceae.